GACGAACGCUGGCGGCGUGCUUAACACAUGCAAGUCGAACGGAAAGGCCCUGCUUUUGUGGGGUGCUCGAGUGGCGAACGGGUGAGUAACACGUGAGUAACCUGCCCUUUACUUUGGGAUAACUUCAGGAAACUGGGGCUAAUACCGGAUAGGAGCUCCUGCUGCAUGGUGGGGGUUGGAAAGUUUCGGCGGUUGGGGAUGGACUCGCGGCUUAUCAGCUUGUUGGUGGGGUAGUGGCUUACCAAGGCUUUGACGGGUAGCCGGCCUGAGAGGGUGACCGGCCACAUGGGGACUGAGAUACGGACCAGACUCCUACGGGAGGCAGCAGUGGGGAAUAUGGCACAAUGGGCGGAAGCCUGAUGCAGCAACGCCGCGUGCGGGAUGAGGGCCUUCGGGUUGUAAACCGCUUUCGCCUGUGACGAAGCGUGAGUGACGGUAAUGGGUAAAGAAGCACCGGCUAACUACGUG
Molecule: ribosomal RNA, 468 nt
Filed under: uncultured bacterium
Lineage: Bacteria
Description: partial 16S ribosomal RNA
Rfam family: Bacterial small subunit ribosomal RNA
Source: RNAcentral